Homo sapiens (human) is the source of this 3295-nucleotide long non-coding RNA. Ensembl annotates it as ADGRA1 antisense RNA 1. Its record names the gene ADGRA1-AS1. Lineage: Eukaryota; Metazoa; Chordata; Mammalia; Primates; Hominidae. The record is from Ensembl.
GUCACACUGCAGAGCGUAUUUAAAGAGACACCUCGCUCCGCGCUCGCUCCCCAGCACCAGACCCUCGCCCGAAAACGCCGCCGGGCGGACUGCACGACCCUGUGUUAUUCCCAAAGACAAUCUCCAUCCGUGGAGAAGCUGCAGGAACAGAAAUAUACACAAGAAAAUGGAUUUGGAAGGAAUUUUCCAUCCUUUAUUUAACAUUCUCAAGUCCAGAUAUGCCAGAACCGAGGUGCACCUGUCGUGAACCCGUCUGAGUGUGAGUCAGCAGGGCAGCCGCAGCCGGUGUAGACAGACAGGGCCUGUGGCUGUGCAGAAAGCGUCCCUGUCCCCCUACCCCAACCCUCCUGCAUCCUGGGCCACAGAGCUGGGCAUCCAGAGCCAAGGCGAGUGUGGAGGCCAGGGUGCCAGGGGCGGCGCAGCCCAGCCUCCCACCCGCAGCGAGGUUUGGGCUCUGCACACAUCCCACAGGUCCCUAUCCUGCCCCAAGGGGCCUCCUACCCGACAAGGUGGGUCCAAGUCCACUCCAGUUUUCGUCACAAACUCCGUUUUCUGGGGCACGUGCUGGCCUGGUGGCAGCCUCAGCAAGAGUCUCAGGAACUGCCCUGGGGGACUCCACACCCCUCCACCUGUUCCCCCUUUGGCCCUGGGUGACCCCACACCCCUCCACCUGUUCCCCCUUUGGCCCUGGGUGACCCCACACCCCUCCACCUGUUCCCUCCUUGGCCUCCACCCUUGCAUGGCUACUUCUGCCCCAGGUUCUGUGACACUGGCGCCUGUUCAGGGGGUCCCCAGGCCCUGCUGCCAUGGAUUUUGAGGGGCCUGAAGGAUGUACUAUUGGGAGGUUGUCAUGAAGACUCACAGAGGCAGAAUUAGAUGCAGGGGUGACAGCGUUCCGCUUCCCCGGCCUCUCAUUAUGGGGCUUUUGAGCGGGAUGUGCUCAGGGCCCCACUGCCCCAUCUAGCUGGUGUUCCCAGAGCCCCUCUGUGGGGACACUGUGCUGGUCCCUGAACUCCAGCUGAGGGACACAGGGUCCAGGCAGGCGACGGUCUAGUUCCCAGCUGGAGACGCUCUAGGCACCCCAGGACCUGGCCGCCCUGACUCCCUGGACACCGUUCCCUUGGAGCCUCGGAGCCCCCCCUGGUGUCCCCUGGGUGAUGGUCCUGGACAAGAGGGCUGGGAAGAAGCGGGCAGCAAGGGGAGGAUUCUGCCCCAGACGUCCCCAGGCCGGGGGUCCCCAUGGGCUCUGCCCUGACGUCUUACUCCUGCACCCAGCGGCUCCCACCACAGAGACUGCUCCAGAAGUCUCCGGGCGCUGUGUGGCAGGAUGAGGAGCUGCCCCCCUGGAGGAUCACGCAGGCCUCUGGGUGGCAUUCAGCAGGGUUGGCUGCGGCACCGGCUGACCACAGGGCCCACCUUUCCAGUCCCGGCAGGAGAGAAGCGUCUCAACCAUGUUGCAGGCACACGGGUGAGGGUGCUGCCUGCCUCCCUGACUCUUACCUCCCCAAGAGAGGAAAACAAAAGAAAAAAAGAUAAGACCAGGAAAUGGAAAUAAGACAAAGAAGAAUGAAAUUUUAAAAUCCGAACAAACCCAAACAUGCUGUUUCAAAACGUAAGUCCAUGAAGAGUCUCGUGGUGAGAAAGACAGAAUUCCUAGCCAGGAAAAUGCCCCGUGCUUGCCCCUUGGAGGCAGGUGCUCACCACGGCAGGGUCUAUCUAGGUGUUUAUUAAGGUGUCUCACCACGUAUCGCCCGGAUUCACCAGAGAUGCAGAGGCGGAGGAUACGUUCCUGUUUACAUUGAUACAUAGUUACAUAGGUGAAGAGCUUUACAGUGAGGAAGCGGCUCACGCGGCCAUGAGGGACCCAGGCAGGAGCUGCUGUUGCUGCCCCAGGUGCGAUUCCUUCCUCCUCAGGGAGGCUCAGCUCCCCGCUGCAGCCAGGUGGGCCCAGGCAGGCCUCCUUGGCCUACAGCGCAGACGGCCAAGUGCUGGUCACGGCCAUUGCAUCUACACCACCCCUUUCUCAGCAGCAACUCCACGAGUGCUCGAUGGGAAACUGCAGACAGCAGCCUUGCCAAGCGGAUGCCCAGGGCCGACCACCGCAGCCCCUCCAGCCACGUUCUCCAUCAGGGCAGCCUCCUGCUGGCUUCGGCACUGCAGGUAGCACACCAGCGAGGGGUGGGCCUGUGUGCCACGAAGCGUCAUCCAUGGACGUGCCACGAAGGGUUAUUCUUCUUUUGACUUUUUCUGAUGGUUUAAAACUGUAAGAACACACAGCUCACAGUCCACACGGAAGCAGGCAUGUGGCUCCUGCCUCACUGUGGGAGGAAAGAUGUUCUCAAAAGAAAUGGCUGGGUUUGCGGAGGGGUUUGUGGAGGGCCGGGCAGUCUGAACACAGCCCAGCUGGCCUUGGUGGAGGUGGGCCUGGCACAGGGGGGUGGGAGCAGUUCUUCCUGACGCAAAUCCUAACGCCUUCAACACUGACCUUCCAAAGAAACAGCUGCUGGACGCCGCCCGACAGCAACGAGAGCCCCACUCCUGAGGCGCGCGACUCUCGAGGGCUUUGUUGUUUAUUUGGCACCCGAGGCCCAGGCUCACAGGGUCUCGGGUGCAUGGGACCCCCCAGCCCUUCCCACUGCUCUGCGAUUCUUCCUCCCUUCUGGAAAGGUCAGUUUGGGGUUCUAUUCUGGGAGGGGCCAGGCCGCCACCUGGCCUCAUUAACUGGGCAGGCCACUGGGACCUCCUCCGAAAUGCUGGGGCCAUGGCCGAAGACUUGCCUCCCGCCAGGAGCCUUCAGCCCUCUUAGUAGUGGAUGUGGGCUUCCUCCCUCUGAGGGGACGUCCUGAUGGACACGAGAUGUGGGGCGCCCGUGGGUGGCCGCCUGCUCCUGCCACAGUCCCCCUUGGGGCCUGAGCUGCGGCUGCUGCCUCCGUAGGGAAGGAACAAUGGGGGAUGGGCCCGCCCCUACCCAGAGAGAGUGGGCCGUGUUGCCUGCAAGGCCUCAGCCAGGGGACCACGUUUCUCUGCAUCUUGUGGCUUUGGGUUCUGCAGGCUGUUUGUGGGAGAACGGGAAACAGUCCCAGAGAUGACGCUGCCUCAUGCAGGUUAACAGAGUUGGAGGUCAGGCCGACGCCUGAGGCUCAGGACGCUGAUGGGUGCCUUCCCUCGCCAGGGGUGAGCCCCCAGCCCCGUCUUCCCUCGCCAGGGUGAGCCCCUCCCCAGCCCCGAGUUUGGAGGGGCCGUGGCUGCCGGGGACUCGCGUGAGGAGCUUGCUGUAAAUACGGAGCUCUGGAGC